This 289-nucleotide small RNA is filed under the name Arabidopsis thaliana (thale cress). Its description in RNAcentral is "ATSL301170". Lineage: Eukaryota; Viridiplantae; Streptophyta; Magnoliopsida; Brassicales; Brassicaceae. The record is from RNAcentral.
AGAAGGAUUUUUAAAAAUGUGCCUUAAUUAGCUUAGUCAACGAAAAUUCGUGAUUAAAUUGAAAGUCAACAUAAACUUGAAGGUUUAAAUCACCAAGUCCAGAGUUUAUGCUUUAAACCAACGAAAAUGGUAAAGUGAUGAUUUAAAUGACAUUUUUCCCGUUAAAAUUGAGUGUAUUAGGCAGUUUAGGAGAAUGUGUAUAAAAUGUUCUUUAUUGACCAGCAAUUGUGAAUGUGAUUAAUGUUUUCUGUAUAAGUAAACUCAUCUUGCUUAUAAGGUACUUUGUUGU